GAUGAACGCUGGCGGCAUGCCUAACACAUGCAAGUCGAACGAGACAUUUAUGUCUAGUGGCGAACGGGUGAGUAAUACUUUGGAAUCUACCUCAAAGUGGGGGAUAGCUUGUCGAAAGACAAAUUAAUACCGCAUGUGAACUUUUUAGUUUAAAGGAGCAAUUCGCUUUGAGAGGAGCCUAAGUCUGAUUAGCUUGUUGGUGGGGUAAUGGCCUACCAAGGCGAUGAUCAGUAGCUGGUCUGAGAGGAUGAACAGCCACACUGGGACUGAGAUACGGCCCAGACUCCUACGGGAGGCAGCAGUGAGGAAUUUUCCACAAUGGGCGAAAGCCUGAUGGAGCAAUGCCGCGUGCAGGAUUAAGUAUUUCGGUAUGUAAACUGCUUUUAUUAGGGAAGAAAUAAGACGGUACCUAAUGAAUAAGGAUCGGCUAACUACGUG
Molecule: ribosomal RNA, 438 nt
Filed under: uncultured organism
Description: bacterial SSU rRNA
Rfam family: Bacterial small subunit ribosomal RNA
Source: RNAcentral